This 446-nucleotide ribosomal RNA is filed under the name uncultured bacterium. RNAcentral's name for it is "partial 16S ribosomal RNA". It matches the Rfam family "Bacterial small subunit ribosomal RNA", at positions 338 to 795 of the family's 1533-position model. The record is from RNAcentral.
CCUACGGGUGGCAGCAGUCGAGAAUCAUUCACAAUGGGGGAAACCCUGAUGGUGCGACGCCGCGUGGGGGAAUGAAGUUCUUCGGAUUGUAAACCCCUGUCAUGUGGGAGCAAAUUAAAAAGAUCGUACCACAAGAGGCAGAGACGGCUAACUCUGUGCCAGCAGCCGCGGUAAUACAGAGGUCUCAAGCGUUGUUCGGAAUCACUGGGCGUAAAGCGUGCGUAGGCUGUUUCGUAAGUCGUGUGUGAAAGGCGAGGGCUCAACCCGCGGACGGCACAUGAUACUGCGAGACUAGAGUAAUGGAGGGGGAACCGGAAUUCUCGGUGUAGCAGUGAAAUGCGUAGAUAUCGAGAGGAACACUCGUGGCGAAGGCGGGUUCCUGGACAUUAACUGACGCUGAGGCACGAAGGCCAGGGGAGCGAAAGGGAUUAGAUACCCUAGUAGUC